GGGAUUGUAGUUCAGUGGUAGAGCACUUGCCUAGCAUGCGUGAGGCACUGGGUUUGAUUCUCAGCACCA
This 69-nucleotide transfer RNA is filed under the name Ictidomys tridecemlineatus (thirteen-lined ground squirrel). Its description in RNAcentral is "Spermophilus tridecemlineatus (thirteen-lined ground squirrel) tRNA". It matches the Rfam family "tRNA". Rfam says of the family: Transfer RNA (tRNA) molecules are approximately 80 nucleotides in length. Their secondary structure includes four short double-helical elements and three loops (D, anti-codon, and T loops). The record is from Rfam by way of RNAcentral. Lineage: Eukaryota; Metazoa; Chordata; Mammalia; Rodentia; Sciuridae.